This 505-nucleotide ribosomal RNA is filed under the name Pimelia atlantis frigioides. Its description in RNAcentral is "partial 16S ribosomal RNA". The record is from RNAcentral. Lineage: Eukaryota; Metazoa; Arthropoda; Insecta; Coleoptera; Tenebrionidae.
UGUAAAAUUUCAAAGGUCGAACAGACCUAAAAUUCUAGCUUCUACACCAAAAUUUAAUUUUAAUCCAACAUCGAGGUCGCAAACUUUUUUAUCGAUAAGAACUCUCCAAAAAAAAUUACGCUGUUAUCCCUAAGGUAAUUUAGUCUUGUAAUCCAAAAAUAAGGAUCAAAUAAUCAUAAAUCAAUGUUCAAAACAAAAAAAAGUUAUUCAAAUUUUUCCAUCGCCCCAACAAAAUAUCUGAAUAAAAACAAAAGAAUAAAUUCAAUAACUCUUAUAUUUAGUCAAAUAUAAAACUCUAUAGGGUCUUCUCGUCUUUAUAAAAAAUUUAAGCUUUUUCACUUAAAAUUGAAGUUCUACAACAUUUACACAGAGACAGUUAUUUUCUCAUCAAACCUUUCAUUCCAGCUUUCAAUUAAAAAACUAAUGAUUAUGCUACCUUUGCACAGUCAAAAUACUGCGGCCAUUCAAAAAUCAUUGGGCAGGCCAGACUUUAAAUCAAAAUCAA